GACGAACGCUGGCGGCGUGCCUAAUACAUGCAAGUAGAACGCUGAAGAGAGGAGCUUGCUCUUCUUGGAUGAGUUGCGAACGGGUGAGUAACGCGUAGGUAACCUGCCUUGUAGCGGGGGAUAACUAUUGGAAACGAUAGCUAAUACCGCAUAACAAUGGAUGACACAUGUCAUUUAUUUGAAAGGGGCAAUUGCUCCACUACAAGAUGGACCUGCGUUGUAUUAGCUAGUAGGUGAGGUAAUGGCUCACCUAGGCGACGAUACAUAGCCGACCUGAGAGGGUGAUCGGCCACACUGGGACUGAGACACGGCCCAGACUCCUACGGGAGGCAGCAGUAGGGAAUCUUCGGCAAUGGGGGCAACCCUGACCGAGCAACGCCGCGGGAGUGAAGAAGGUUUUCGGAUCGUAAAGCUCUGUUGUAAGUCAAGAACGGGUGUGGGAGUGGAAAGUUCACACUGUGACGGUAGCUUACCAGAAAGGGACGGCUAACUACGUG
RNAcentral lists this ribosomal RNA (497 nucleotides) under uncultured bacterium. Its description in RNAcentral is "partial 16S ribosomal RNA". It matches the Rfam family "Bacterial small subunit ribosomal RNA", at positions 28 to 507 of the family's 1533-position model. The record is from RNAcentral.